CAGUCGCCGCGGGAAAACGAAGGGGGCUAGCGUUGUUCGGAAUUACUGGGCGUAAAGCGCACGUAGGCGGACAUUUAAGUCAGGGGUGAAAUCCCGGGGCUCAACCCCGGAACUGCCUUUGAUACUGGGUGUCUAGAGUAUGGAAGAGGUGAGUGGAAUUCCGAGUGUAGAGGUGAAAUUCGUAGAUAUUCGGAGGAACACCAGUGGCGAAGGCGGCUCACUGGUCCAUUACUGACGCUGAGGUGCGAAAGCGUGGGGAGCAAACAGGAUUAGAUACCCGCGUAGUCCCUGUCUCUUAUCA
RNAcentral lists this ribosomal RNA (301 nucleotides) under uncultured bacterium. RNAcentral's name for it is "partial 16S ribosomal RNA". It matches the Rfam family "Bacterial small subunit ribosomal RNA", at positions 509 to 809 of the family's 1533-position model. The record is from RNAcentral.